RNAcentral lists this ribosomal RNA (439 nucleotides) under uncultured bacterium. Its description in RNAcentral is "partial 16S ribosomal RNA". It matches the Rfam family "Bacterial small subunit ribosomal RNA", at positions 29 to 523 of the family's 1533-position model. The record is from RNAcentral.
AACGAACGCUGGCGGCAGGCCUAACACAUGCAAGUCGAACGACAUAGUGGCAGACGGGUGAGUAACGCGUGGGAACGUACCCCAAGGUACGGAAUAGCUGUUGGAAACGACAGGUAAUACCGUAUGUGACCGUGAGGUGAAAGAUUUAUCGCCUUGGGAUCGGCCCGCGUUAGAUUAGCUUGUUGGUGAGGUAAUGGCUCACCAAGGCGACGAUCUAUAGCUGGUUUGAGAGAACGACCAGCCACACUGGGACUGAGACACGGCCCAGACUCCUACGGGAGGCAGCAGUGGGGAAUCUUGCACAAUGGGCGAAAGCCUGAUGCAGCCAUGCCGCGUGAAUGAUGAAGGCCUUAGGGUUGUAAAAUUCUUUCACCAGGGAAGAUAAUGACUGUACCUGGAGAAGAAGCCCCGGCUAACUUCGUGCCAGCCGCCGCGGUAA